Molecule: ribosomal RNA, 464 nt
Filed under: uncultured bacterium
Lineage: Bacteria
Description: partial 16S ribosomal RNA
Rfam family: Bacterial small subunit ribosomal RNA
Source: RNAcentral
GACGAACGCUGGCGGCGUGCUUAACACAUGCAAGUCGAACGGAAAGGCCCUGCUUGCAGGGUACUCGAGUGGCGAACGGGUGAGUAACACGUGGGUGAUCUGCCCUGCACUUCGGGAUAAGCCUGGGAAACUGGGUCUAAUACCGGAUAGGAGCCAUUUUUAGUGUGAUGGUUGGAAAGUUUUUUCGGUGUAGGAUGAGCUCGCGGCCUAUCAGCUUGUUGGUGGGGUAAUGGCCUACCAAGGCGGCGACGGGUAGCCGGCCUGAGAGGGUGGACGGCCACAUUGGGCUGGGGACACCGCCCAGCCCCCUACGGGGGGCAGCGGUGGGGAAUUUUGCACAAUGGGCCCAAGCCUGAUGCCGCGCCCCCGCGGGGGGGAUGACGGCCUUCGGUUUUUAAACCCCUUUCCCUGGGGACGAAGCUUUUUGUGACGGUACCUAGAUAAGAAGCCCCGGCUAACUACGU